Molecule: ribosomal RNA, 519 nt
Filed under: uncultured bacterium
Lineage: Bacteria
Description: bacterial SSU rRNA
Rfam family: Bacterial small subunit ribosomal RNA
Source: RNAcentral
AGAGUUUGAUCAUGGCUCAGGAUGAACGCUGGCGGCGUGCCUAAUACAUGCAAGUCGAACGAGGGAAGUCCAGCUUGCUGGACGGAACUAGUGGCGAACGGGUGAGUAAUACGUAAGCAACCUGCCUACAAGGACCGGGAUAACACCUGGAAACGGGCGCUAAUACCGGAUAGGUAACGGGAGGGCAUCCUUCUGUUAUUAAAGGUUAGAAACACAAGUAGAUGGGCUUACGGCGCAUUAGCUGGUUGGUGAGGUAACGGCCCACCAAGGCGAUGAUGCAUAGCCGGCCUGAGAGGGUGAACGGCCACAUUGGGACUGAGACACGGCCCAGACUCCUACGGGAGGCAGCAGUAGGGAAUUUUCGGCAAUGGGCGCAAGCCUGACCGAGCAACGCCGCGUGAAGUGAAGUAAGGUUUUCGGAUUGUAAAGCUCUGUUGUAAGGGAAGAAUGGCAGGGAAAGAAUCUCUGAGUGACGGUACCUUACCAGAAAGCCACGGCUAACUACGUGCCAGCCGCAGC